Molecule: small nucleolar RNA, 127 nt
Organism: Suncus etruscus (white-toothed pygmy shrew)
Lineage: Eukaryota; Metazoa; Chordata; Mammalia; Eulipotyphla; Soricidae
Product: small nucleolar RNA SNORA3/SNORA45 family
Exons: 1
Source: RefSeq, a predicted model, not a curated record
UCUGUACAAUCACAUCCUUACACAUCACUUGUCCUGGUGUGCUAGAAUUCUCAGAGAGAAUAUACUGAUCUUAAUUCACUGGUGAAGGUAACCAGUACCCCUAUUACUACCUAGGUCAGAAACAUGG